CCGUGGUAAUUCUAGAGCUAAUACAUGCUAAAAAUCCCGACUGUUUGGAAGGGAUGUAUUUAUUAGAUAAAAAAUCAACGCUCUUUGAGCUCUUUGAUGAUUCAUAAUAACUUUUCGAAUCGCAUGGCCUUGUGCUGGCGAUGGUUCAUUCAAAUUUCUGCCCUAUCAACUUUCGAUGGUAGGAUAGUGGCCUACCAUGGUUUCAACGGGUAACGGGGAAUAAGGGUUCGAUUCCGGAGAGGGAGCCUGAGAAACGGCUACCACAUCCAAGGAAGGCAGCAGGCGCGCAAAUUACCCAAUCCCGACACGGGGAGGUAGUGACAAUAAAUAACGAUGCAGGGCCCUUUCGGGUCUUGUAAUUGGAAUGAGUACAAUGUAAAUACCUUAACGAGGAACAAUUGGAGGGCAAGUCUGGUGCCAGCAGCCGCGGUAAUUCCAGCUCCAAUAGCGUAUAUUAAAGUUGUUGCAGUUAAAAAGCUCGUAGUUGAACUUUGGGCUUGGUUGGCCGGUCCGCCUUUUGGCGAGUACUGGACCCGACCGAGCCUUUCCUUCUGGCUAACCAAGUGCCCUUGUGGUGCUUGGCGAACCAGGACUUUUACUUUGAAAAAAUUAGAGUGUUCAAAGCAGGCGUUUCGCUCGAAUAUAUUAGCAUGGAAUAAUAGAAUAGGACGUUAUGGUUCUAUUUUGUUGGUUUCUAGGACCAUCGUAAUGAUUAACAGGAACGGUCGGGGGCAUCAGUAUUCAGUUGUCAGAGGUGAAAUUCUUGGAUCUACUGAAGACUAACUAC
Molecule: ribosomal RNA, 787 nt
Filed under: Priceomyces sp.
Lineage: Eukaryota; Fungi; Ascomycota; Pichiomycetes; Serinales; Debaryomycetaceae
Description: SSU rRNA
Rfam family: Eukaryotic small subunit ribosomal RNA
Source: RNAcentral